AGGUGGAUGUCAGGGAACUGCCAUCGGACGGAAGGGAGGUGAAAGGGCUCACACAGGUUGGGAGAGACGCAGCAGCUGAAGAGGGAACCAGCAGGGAGGUGAAAGGGCUCACACAGGUUGGGAGAGACGCAGCAGCUGAAGAGGGAACCAGCAGGGGGAGAGGAGCUGAGCUGGAGGGAUGGCUCAGAGACACUUCCAGCGAAAACAGUGGGGAGGUUUCAGGACCUCCUGUAAGAACACCCACUCCUCGCCGGAAACUGUCACGCAGAGAGUCCAGAAGACGUGUUUCCGUUAAGGAGCUUUUAUGUUGGAAGCGAUUACGAAAGCAACCACUGUCGGAAUCUGCUAGUGACUAGAGGAGCCAUGUCUGAGGGGCUCCGUCACAGACAGAGGUUUGUGGACUUGAACAAACUCUGAGGGGAUACGAUUUUACGCACAAGCAGCUCAUCAUCCCAUCACA
This is a non-coding RNA of Podarcis lilfordi (Lilford's wall lizard), 460 nucleotides long. NCBI's taxonomy places the organism in Eukaryota, Metazoa, Chordata, Lepidosauria, Squamata, Lacertidae. The record is from the annotation of a GenBank genome assembly.